This is a long non-coding RNA of Bubalus bubalis (water buffalo), 895 nucleotides long. RefSeq lists it as uncharacterized. The record is from RefSeq and is a predicted model, not a curated record. The transcript is spliced from 2 exons. Lineage: Eukaryota; Metazoa; Chordata; Mammalia; Artiodactyla; Bovidae.
UAAUUAAGUCAUAAGGGUGGAGCCCUCAUAAAUGGGAUUAGUGCCCUUAUAAGCAGCAGCAAUAGAAUUAGCUAGCUGUCUUUCUUCCCUGUGAGGACACAGUGAGAAGGUAGCCAUCUACAACCAGGAAGAGGGCCCUCCCUAGAACCUGACCAAUGCUGGCACCCUGAUCUCAGACUUCCAACAUCUAAAGUCUAAAAUCCCUGGUGAAAGUUUCAAUUAUCUUGAGGUGUACAUCUGAAUCAACUAUAAGACCGCCAUUUUUUUCUACAGAAGGAAAUUUGCAACUGCUCAAGAACUACUAGACUGGAUGGAUCCAACUUUCACCCAUCCACCUUUGAAUCUUCAAAAAAAAAAAAAGAAAUUGGGGCAAAAAAGAAUGUGUUUUGAAGCACCGCUUCCCGCCUUUUUUUUAAAACUCACUCCCUGAAGUAGGAGAAAUAUUAGGAAAUUUACUCUUCCACUCAACAGCUCUCACACAAGCCUUCAAGAAGCUACACUUAGGAGAGAAGCAUGAGCCUAGCAGAGGAGAACUCUCCAGAGGGGCCAUCACAUAUGACAGUCAACUUAUACAUUCACACUUCAGACAUCUUAUUCAAACCAAUUGCAGAAGGCUGGUUUGUUCUUUAGAAAACACUGCACUAACUUUAAUUUAGACAUUUCUAUUUUAGUGCAGCUAGACUACACAGGAGUAUGUUCCUCUACCAUUUAGUAAUUUAGAUACUUUCAAUAUUAUUGCUAACUGACUCUUGAAGUACAAGAGCCUUAAUUAUGUUGGUUUAAUAGUUUGUGCUUAAAUAUUGUUAUUUGUAAACUAACAGUAGGAAAUGCUACAACUUCCCCAUGUUUCUUUUUUACUUCAAUGUUACAAUAAAAUAUGCCAUUGUUGAUUGAA